Molecule: ribosomal RNA, 159 nt
Filed under: Glaucomaria carpinea
Lineage: Eukaryota; Fungi; Ascomycota; Lecanoromycetes; Lecanorales; Lecanoraceae
Also listed under: 6 other names
Description: Lecanora carpinea 5.8S ribosomal RNA
Rfam family: 5.8S ribosomal RNA
About the family: 5.8S ribosomal RNA (5.8S rRNA) is a component of the large subunit of the eukaryotic ribosome. It is transcribed by RNA polymerase I as part of the 45S precursor that also contains 18S and 28S rRNA. Functionally, it is thought that 5.8S rRNA may be involved in ribosome translocation.
Source: RNAcentral
AAAACUUUCAACAACGGAUCUCUUGGUUCUGGCAUCGAUGAAGAACGCAGCGAAAUGCGAUAAGUAAUGUGAAUUGCAGAAUUCAGUGAAUCAUCGAAUCUUUGAACGCACAUUGCGCCCCUCGGCAUUCCGGGGGGCAUGCCUGUUCGAGCGUCAUUA